Molecule: ribosomal RNA, 550 nt
Filed under: uncultured fungus
Lineage: Eukaryota; Fungi
Description: eukaryotic LSU rRNA
Rfam family: 5.8S ribosomal RNA (bases 213-366)
Source: RNAcentral
GUAAAAGUCCUAACAAGGUCUCCGUUGGUGAACCAGCGGAGGGAUCAUUAAAGAGUUGCAAAACUCCCAAACCAUUGUGAACAUACCUUCAACGUUGCUUCGGCGGGUUGGCCCCGGUCUCCGGGGUCCCCGGCCCUACUCGGGCGCCCGCCGGAGGUAUCUAACUCUUGAACUUUUAUGGCCUCUCUGAGUCUUUGUACUUAAUAAGUCAAAACUUUCAACAACGGAUCUCUUGGUUCUGGCAUCGAUGAAGAACGCAGCGAAAUGCGAUAAGUAAUGUGAAUUGCAGAAUUCAGUGAAUCAUCGAAUCUUUGAACGCACAUUGCGCCCGCCAGUAUUCUGGCGGGCAUGCCUGUUCGAGCGUCAUUUCAACCAUCAAGCCCCCGGCUUGUGUUGGGGACCUGCGGCUGCCGCAGGCCCUGAAAACCAGUGGCGGGCUCGCUAGUCACUCCGAGCGUAGUAAUACAUCUCGCUCAGGGCGUGCUGCGGGUUCCGGCCGUUAAAAAGCCUUAUUUACCCAAGGUUGACCUCGGAUCAGGUAGGAACACCC